UACGUAGGUGGCAAGCGUUAUCCGGAUUUAUUGGGCGUAAAGGGAACGCAGGCGGUCUUUUAAGUCUGAUGUGAAAGCCUUCGGCUUAACCGGAGUAGUGCAUUGGAAACUGGCGUUCUUGAGUGGGCGAGAAGUAUGCGGAAUGCGUGGUGUGGCGGUGAAAUGCAUAGAUAUCACGCAGAACUCCGAUUGCGAAGGCAGCAUACCGGCGCCCUACUGACGCUGAGGCACGAAAGCGUGGGUAUCGAACAGG
RNAcentral lists this ribosomal RNA (253 nucleotides) under uncultured bacterium. Its description in RNAcentral is "partial 16S ribosomal RNA". It matches the Rfam family "Bacterial small subunit ribosomal RNA", at positions 524 to 776 of the family's 1533-position model. The record is from RNAcentral.